Molecule: non-coding RNA, 78 nt
Filed under: unclassified sequences
Description: NiCo-AnGGAG riboswitch aptamer
Rfam family: NiCo-AnGGAG riboswitch aptamer
About the family: Nico riboswitches are selective metalloregulatory riboswitches that recognice Ni2+ and Co2+ metals.
Source: Rfam by way of RNAcentral
AAUCUGAACAAGCUGUGCAUUAUGCAUGAAGCCGGGUUAUUCGCAGGAAGAAUAACAGCGGAGAUAUCCGUGAGACAG